GAUGAACGCUGGCGGCGUGCCUAAUACAUGCAAGUAGAACGCUGAAGGAAGGAGCUUGCUCUUUCCGGAUGAGUUGCGAACGGGUGAGUAACGCGUAGGUAACCUGCCUGGUAGCGGGGGAUAACUAUUGGAAACGAUAGCUAAUACCGCAUAACAGUAGAUGUUGCAUGAUAUCUACUUAAAAGGUGCAAUUGCACCACUACCAGAUGGACCUGCGUUGUAUUAGCUAGUUGGUGAGGUAACGGCUCACCAAGGCGACGAUACAUAGCCGACCUGAGAGGGUGAUCGGCCACACUGGGACUGAGACACGGCCCAGACUCCUACGGGAGGCAGCAGUAGGGAAUCUUCGGCAAUGGACGGAAGUCUGACCGAGCAACGCCGCGUGAGUGAAGAAGGUUUUCGGAUCGUAAAGCUCUGUUGUAAGAGAAGAACGUGUGUGAGAGUGGAAAGUUCACACUGUGACGGUAUCUUACCAGAAAGGGACGGCUAACUACGUG
RNAcentral lists this ribosomal RNA (497 nucleotides) under uncultured bacterium. RNAcentral's name for it is "partial 16S ribosomal RNA". It matches the Rfam family "Bacterial small subunit ribosomal RNA", at positions 28 to 507 of the family's 1533-position model. The record is from RNAcentral.